Molecule: ribosomal RNA, 450 nt
Filed under: uncultured bacterium
Lineage: Bacteria
Description: partial 16S ribosomal RNA
Rfam family: Bacterial small subunit ribosomal RNA
Source: RNAcentral
GUGGGGAAUCUUCCACAAUGGACGAAAGUCUGAUGGAGCAACGCCGCGUGAGUGAAGAAGGGUUUCGGCUCGUAAAGCUCUGUUGUCGGGGACGAAUGUGCAGUAUUUGAAUAAAGUAGUGCAAUGACGGUACCUGACGAGGAAGCCACGGCUAACUACGUGCCAGCAGCCGCGGUAAUACGUAGGUGGCAAGCGUUGUCCGGAAUUAUUGGGCGUAAAGGGAGCGCAGGCGGGAAGGUAAGUCGGUCUUAAAAGUGCGGGGCUCAACCCCGUGAUGGGAUCGAAACUAUCUUUCUUGAGUGCAGGAGAGGAAAGUGGAAUUCCUAGUGUAGCGGUGAAAUGCGUAGAUAUUAGGAAGAACACCAGUGGCGAAGGCGACUUUCUGGACGAAAACUGACGCUGAGGCGCGAAAGCCAGGGGAGCGAACGGGAUUAGAAACCCCUGUAGUCC